RNAcentral lists this ribosomal RNA (253 nucleotides) under uncultured bacterium. RNAcentral describes it as "partial 16S ribosomal RNA". It matches the Rfam family "Bacterial small subunit ribosomal RNA", at positions 524 to 776 of the family's 1533-position model. The record is from RNAcentral.
UACGUAGGGUGCGAGCGUUAAUCGGAAUUACUGGGCGUGAAGCGUGCGCAGGCGGUUCGUUGUGUCGGCGGUGAAAGCCCCGGGCUUAACCUGGGAAUGGCCGUUGAAACUGGCGAACUGGAGUGUGGCAGAGGGGGGUGGAAUUCCGCGUGUAGCAGUGAAAUGCGUAGAGAUGCGGAGGAACACCGAUGGCGAAGGCAGCCCCCUGGGCUAACACUGACGCUCAGGCACGAAAGCCAGGGGAGCGAACGGG